UGCAUAUCAAUAAGCGGAGGAAAAGAAACUAACAAGGAUUCCCCUAGUAACGGCGAGUGAAGCGGGAAAAGCUCAAAUUUGUAAUCUGGCGCCUUGGGCGUCCGAGUUGUAAUCUCGAGAAGUAUUUUCCGCGCUGGACCGCACAUAAGUCUGUUGGAAUACAGCGUCAUAGUGGUGAGAACCCCGUAUAGGGUGCGGAUGCCCAGUGCUUUGUGAUAUACUUUCGAAGAGUCGAGUUGUUUGGGAAUGCAGCUCAAAUUGGGUGGUAAAUUCCAUCUAAAGCUAAAUAUUGGCGAGAGACCGAUAGCGAACAAGUACCGUGAGGGAAAGAUGAAAAGCACUUUGGAAAGAGAGUUAACAGUACGUGAAAUUGUUGGAAGGGAAACGCUUGAAGUCAGACUUGCAUUUUGGAGUUCAGCCGCAAGGUGUAUUCUUCAAUUCGCAGGCCAGCAUCAGUUUUUGGGGGUGGAAAAGCGUGGUUUGAAGGUAGCAGUCUCGGCUGUGUUAUAGCUUUCCACUGGAUUCACUUUUGGGGACUGAGGAACGCAGUACGCUUUUUGCAAGAUUCUAGAGUCUUUCGUACUUAGGAUGCUGGUGGAAUGGCUUUAAACGACCCGUCUUGAAACACGGACCA
This 634-nucleotide ribosomal RNA is filed under the name Microbotryum major. Its description in RNAcentral is "LSU rRNA". It matches the Rfam family "Eukaryotic large subunit ribosomal RNA", at positions 37 to 668 of the family's 3401-position model. Lineage: Eukaryota; Fungi; Basidiomycota; Microbotryomycetes; Microbotryales; Microbotryaceae. The record is from RNAcentral.